RNAcentral lists this ribosomal RNA (1504 nucleotides) under human metagenome. RNAcentral's name for it is "bacterial LSU rRNA". It matches the Rfam family "Bacterial large subunit ribosomal RNA", at positions 468 to 1977 of the family's 2925-position model. The record is from RNAcentral.
AAAUACUCCCGAGAGACCGAUAGCGAACCAGUACCGUGAGGGAAAGGUGAAAAGAACCCCGAGCAGGGGAGUGAAAUAGACCCUGAACCCGUCUGCCUACAAGCGGUCGGAGCGUCGUAAUGACGUGACGGCGUGCCUUUUGCAUAAUGAACCUACGAGUUACCUUCCCCGGCAAGGUUAAGUUCUUGAGGAACGGAGCCGAAGCGAAAGCGAGUCUGAACAGGGCGCCAAGUCGGGGGGGGUAGACGCGAAACCGAGUGAUCUACCCUUGGCCAGGUUGAAGGUUGGGUAACACCAACUGGAGGACCGGAUGGGUAAGCGUUGAAAAGCUUUCCAAUGAGCUGAGGGUAGGGGUGAAAGGCUAAUCAAACUCGGAGAUAGCUCGUACUCCCCGAAAUGCAUUUAGGUGCAGCCUCUUUAUAGUAUAUCGUGAGGUAGAGCGACUGAUUGGAUGCGAGGGCUUCACCGCCUAUCAAGUCCAGAUAAACUCCGAAUGCGUUAUAUAUAUUUAUAAGGAGUGAGGGCGCGGGUGCUAAGGUCCGCGUCCGAGAGGAGAAGAAUCCAGACCAUCAGCUAAGGUCCCCAAAUAACAGUUAAGUUGAACUAACGAAGUCAGACUGCAGAGACAGCUAGGAUGUUGGCUUGGAAGCAGCCAUUCAUUUAAAGAGUGCGUAACAGCUCACUAGUCGAGCGAUCUGGCGUGGAUAAUAAUCGGGCAUAAACGAUCUGCCGAAGCCGUGGAUGUCGCAAGACAUGGUAGGGGAGCAUUCCAUGCCGCGUCGAAGAUGAGGGAUGACCCUUGUUGGAGCGCAUGGAAAAGCAAAUGUAGGUAUGAGUAACGAUAAGGGGGGCGAGAACCCCCCCCGCCGAAAGACCAAGGUUUCCUGAUCAACGCUAAUCGGAUCAGGGUGAGUCGGGACCUAAGGCAAAGCCGAACGGCGCCGCCGAUGGAAGAAUGGGUUAAUAUUCCCAUACUGCCUCAUGGAGUGACGUGGAGACGGAGAAGUGACAGUCCUGCCGGCUGACGGAAUAGCCGGUUGAAGGGUGUAGAUAUUGAUUCCCGUAGGCAAAUCCGCGGGGAGAGUCGAACCUGAGAGUAUACGGAGCGCUUGCGCAACGUAAUAUGGACGUAACCAUGCUCCCGAGAAAAUCCGCUAAACUUAUCCAUGCGGCACCCGUACCGUAAACGGACACACGUGGUCGGGUUGAGAAUACUGAGGCGCUCGAGUGAUUCACGGUUAAGGAACUAGGCAAAUUGACCCUGUAACUUCGGGAUAAAGGGUCCCUACCCUUUUAUGGGAGGGCGCAGAGAAUCGGUCCAGGCAACUGUUUAACAAAAACACAGGGCUGUGCGAAAUAGAAAUAUGAAGUAUACAGCCUGACACCUGCCCGGUGCUGGAAGGUUAAGAGGAGAUGUCAUCGCAAGAGAAGCAUUGAAUUGAAGCCCCAGUAAACGGCGGCCGUAACUAUAACGGUCCUAAGGUAGCGAAAUUCCUUGUCGGGU